UCCUUCUCAACUUCUUGAUGGUAAGACUCCUUUUGAAAAGCUGUAUGGGAGAAUUCCAUCAUUUAAUCAUCUUCGGGUCUUUGGGUGUCUUGCCUAUGCUCAUAACAUUAAUCACAAAGGAGAUAAAUUUGCGGCAAGAAGUCGAAAGUGUAUAUUUCUUGGAUAUCCAGUAGGAAAGAAAGGCUGGUUACUGCUUGAUUCAAAAACGCAGAGUAUCUUUACGUCGCGGGACGUUGUUUUCUGUGAAGAUAUCUUCCCAUUGGCUGCGUCUUCUGACAAAUCUGACAAUCAUGAGCCAGCGUCUGAACUACAAGAGGCUACUCUCGAUGACACUGACUCUGAUAGUGGUACAUCCGACGAUGUGCAACCUGAAACAGAGGAAGGUGUACUGGAUACUGCACCUGCAGCUGAGAAUAUACCGAUGGCUCCUGCGGAGGUUCCCGAGGAGAUUCUUCCGACUGUUGAAAUAAAUACACCGGCUACUGAGGUUGAUGAGGUUUUAGGAAGAGGACAUCGUCCAAAAAUUCCUUCCACUCGCUUGCGAGAUUUCGUCGUUAAUACGGUUACUCUUGACUCUUCUCUCUCUCUCUCCACUACUUCACCAUCUCCUCAGUCGUCUUCAGGUUCGGUCUAUCCUAUCUCUGAUUAUCUCUUUAGUCAUAAAUUUUCUGACCAACAUCGCAGCUUCCUGGUGGCGAUAUCAUCUCAUCAUAUUCCUAAAUCGUUUAAAGAAGCAAUUCUUGACAAGAUAUGGAAGGAUUCUAUGGGUACUGAAGUUACAGCUUUGGAGAGCCAGCAUACGUGGGAUGUGGUGCCAUUGCCACCUGGUAAGAAACCACUUGAUAACAAAUGGAUAUAUACAAUUAAGUAUCGAUCGGACGGAAGUAUUGAACGACCAAAGUCGAGAUUAGUUGUCUGUGGUAAUCGCCAGAAACAUGGAGUUGACUAUACAGACACAUUUUCACCAGUUGCGAAGAUGACUACGGUGAGAGUAUUUCUGGAUUAUGCGUGUAAGUUGGGUCAUGAGGUUCAUCAGAUGGAUGUUCACAAUGCGUUUCUUCAUGGGGAUCUUCACGAGGAAGUAUACAUGAAAAUUCCUCAAGGUUUUUCUUCUCCAGAUAAGAAUCUGGUAUGUAGACUUCGCAAAUCUUUAUAUGGCUUGAAGCAGGCGCCUCGUUAUUGGUUUGCCAAGUUAACAGAUGCUCUUCUCAAGUAUGGGUUUACUCAAACCAAGUCUGAUUAUUCCUUGUUUGUUUACUUUAAGCAAGGAGUGUCCAUUCGCAUCCUGGCUUAUGUGGAUGACCUGAUUAUAUCAGGAAGUACUCCGAAGGAUAUCAAACUCAUAAAAGACUAUAUCUCGACUUGCUUUCACAUGAAGGAUCUUGGUCUUCUCAAAUACUUUCUGGGUAUAGAGGUUGCUCGAAGCCCGUCUGGUUUCUACUUAUGUCAGCGUAAGUACGCUACUGAUAUUGUCACUGAAGUCGGAUUGCUUGGUUGUAAACCGGCUGGAGCCCCUAUGGAUCAAAAUCAUCAACUUAGUCGAGCUGAUGGUCCUACAAUUUCUGAGCCAGAACGGUAUCGGAGACUUGUUGGCCGGUUUAUUUAUCUUGCUGCGACAAGACCAGACUUAACGUAUGCUGUACACAUUCUUUCACAAUUUAUGCAAGAUCCUAAAGAAGAUCAUUGGACUGCUGCAUUGAAGGUGGUACGAUACUUGAAGGGAACUUUGGGUCAAGGUAUUUUUCUGGAUGCGAAGUCAUCUCUCCACUUGACUGGCUGGUGUGAUUCUGAUUGGGGAGGAUGUCACACUACUCGGCGCUCUCUGUCUGGUUGGAUAGUUCAGCUCGGAACCUCUCCCAUCGCGUGGAAAAGCAAGAAACAAGACACUGUAUCUUGCUCAUCGGCAGAGGCCGAAUACCGUGCUAUGGGAGCCAUCACUAAGGAGUUGUUAGGAUUAAAGUCUUUACUUCGGGAACUUGGAGUGAAUCACAAGGAACCGAUGACACUGUUUUGUGAUAGUCAACCAGCAAUUCAUAUUAGUUCAAAUCCGGUGUUUCAUGAAAGGACUAAGAAUAUAGAGAUUGAGUGUCAUUUCAUACGAGAUGAAAUCGUCAAGGGUGUUCUAAAACCAUCAUAUGUCUCUACUAAAGAGCAGUUAGCGGACAUCUUUACGAAAGCAUUGGGACGCAAAGAGUUCGACAUUUUCUUGUCCAAGCUGGGCAUUCGUAACUUACAUGCUCCACCUUGAGGGGGGGUAUUACGAGAGAUACUACAUAGAUUUGUGUAUAUCUAUAUUUCCUAUUCUAGUUAUUAACAUUAUUGAUACUAGGUUUAGGAGAUCUUAUGAUGGUUGUAUAAAUACUUGGCUGCGGCCACAUUAAUAGACAAGUUAACAUUCAUCGAUUCAUAAACUUGUCAAAUUGACAAAAGGGGAAAGGAACAAUGGGGAAAAAAUGGGGGUGGGUGGGAAGACAGGGAAAUCACUAUCAACAAAAGGAGAAGCAGAGAAAAGAUUUGUGGGGGCAACGGACGAAUGCAUUACAGUGUGCCUUUGAGACUGACAUUUUUGGCAACUCAUGCGUGAAGAUGUUUCUUCUUUGACCAUGAUUUUACAUAUGUAUCUAUAUGUUUAGGGUUCUCGUUUUUUGAGUGUAUCAAAGUAACGUUUUCAAACCAAGUGGUGAUCCACAUAUAGUAAGAUGGUUGUCUAUUGAUCGAAGACAAAACUCGAGACACUGAUUAGAACAUGGUUAAUAGCUUUAUAUGUGAUUUUUCAUGUACAUAUUGGAAACCAGAACUAUUAGGUAACUAUUUCAACAGUUGAGUAGUAGUGUGGUGUUGCGGUAUCAUACAACAUGGAAAUUUACUGAUGAACUAACGAAAAAAAAAUGAUAUUAAAUGUUUAUUUCAUUUUCUAGUUGUUGUUUUUUCUUUCAUAAAAACAAGCAACUUGGGCAUUCGAUUUAACAAACAUAGAGACACUUAGAUUUGUGGCGAAGUUAAUUUGUUAUAUAGUGGUUUUUUUAUUAGUAUCAUCACUGCAAUGUUAUUGUAUGAGAUAUAGACGAAAAAAGUGUAAUCCAGCAUUUGUAAAAUUAUGCAAUACACAAAAUAACAACCUUUUGUUGUCUCCGUUUUUUUUUUAAAUAGCGAUUUUUUAGUAUUAUGAAGUUUUAUUAAAUUAAUUGACAAAAAAUUAAAACAAUGUCCAUGUACAGUGAAAGAGAGUUUAAUAUACAUUAAUACAAAUGUAGAAUGUGUUUAGAGAUUUUAAAACAACACUAAAGAUCAUAGGCUUCAGUAUAUAAAGCAUUUACUGAAAAAUUUAAUAUUUUCGUAGGGUUAACACAUAGCUUUUGAGAAAAUUCCAAAAAUACGAAAAAUACUGUUUUAAUGCAUAGUUGCAUCAUUCACUAAAAUAUGAUGAAUGUCAAAAAGGUUUGAAACCUUUGUUGUCUUUGUUUUUCUAGAGAAUAACUAUUUUGUAGUGGUUAGUCCACCAAUUUAGAGAGUAUUAUGAAGUUUUACUAAAUUAAUUGACAAAAAAUUAAAAUGAUGCCCAUGUACCAUGAAAAAGAGUUUAAUAUACAUUAAUACAAAUGUAGAAUGUUUUUAGAAAUUUUAAAACAACACAGAUCAUAUGCUUCAGUAUAUAUAGCAUUUACCGAAAAUUUAAUAUUUUCGUACGCGUUAACACAUAGAUUUUGAGAAAAUUCAAAAAUAUGAAAAUACAGUUUUAAUGCAUAGUUUCAUCCUUCACUAAAAUAUGAUGAAUGUGAAAGAUGUUUGGAACCUUUGUUGUCUCCAUUUUUUCUUGAGAAUAGCGAUUUUGUAGUGGUUAGUCCACCAAUUUAGGGAGUACUAUGAAGUUUUACUAAAUUAAUUGACAAAAAAUAAAAUGAUGCCCACCAUGAAAGAGAUUUUUAUAUAUAUUAAUACAAAUGUAGAAUUAUUUUAGAAAUUUUAAAACAACACUAGAGAUCAUAAUUUUCAGUAUACAAAGCAUUUACCAAAAAACUCAAUAUUUUCGUAUGGGUUAUAACUCAUAGAUUUUGAGAAAAAUUCAAAAAUAUGAAAAUAUUGUUUUAAUGCAUAGUUUCAUCCUUCACUAAGUUAUGAUGAAGGUCAACGAAUUUUGGAACUUUUGUUGUCUCCGUUUCUCUAGAAAAUAGCGAUUUAUAGUGGUUACUCCACCAAUUUAGGGAGUAUUAUGAAGUUUUACUAAAUUAAUUGAAAACAAAUUAAAAUGAUGCCCAUGUACCAUGAAAGAGAGUUUAAUAUAAAUUAAUACAAAUGUAGAAUAUGUUUAGAAAUUUUAAAACAACACUAAAGAUCAUAGGCUUCUGUAUAUAGAGCAUUUACUGAAAAUUUUAAUAUUUUCGUAGGGGUUAUAACACAUAGAUUUUGAGAACAAUUCAAAAAAAUAUGAAAAUAUUAAUUUAAUGCAUAAUUGCAUCUUUCACUAAAAUAUGAUGAAUGUGAAAGUGGUUUGGAACCUUUGUUGUCUCCGUUUUUCUAGAGAAUAGCCAAUUUUUAGAGGUUCGAAAACACUACUAGUCUUUUCUAGUGUUUAUUCUAAAAUACGAUAAAUAUAUUUGAAUACCUACAUAGGAUAUAUCAAACUUGCAAAAUUGGUCUUCCGCUUGUCCAGAAAGUUAGUGGAUUAGCUAGGCGGGUUAUGUAUUAUUAUAAUAUUCAUUAUACUAAACGUGAUCCAUCCUAAUUCUGACUCGUUGACAAAUCAACCUGACUUUAUAACACAAUACCCAUUUAUAUAUUUGUUACGAACAACAUGCGGAUUCCACAUCCGUUGGUCCGACGAAUGUAGACACACAUUAUCUGCCAAUUAUAUAUACAUGGUAUAUACAUGUGUAUUUAAGACUAUAAAAAUGUGAACAUACAAGUACAACACACUAUUACCUACAUGCAUGAUUAACAAACGAUAUGAAAACCUAAGAACACCGCACAGUCAUUAAAAUUACAAUUAAAUAACCCGAAGGGUCUAAACUCUACAAUCCUCUUUACACAGUGAUUAUUGCAAAGCUACAAUAUCAUGAAUUUAUUAAUAAUUACUCCUUAGGAAGAGAAAAUAGUUAUUUCAUAUGAAUAGAAAAGUGAGAGAUAAUCCAAAAAUGUGAGAAAGAGAGGGGAAAAAGAAAGCAAAGUUUGAAACGGGCCCCAUGACAUGUCCUCUAACGUCAACAUUAUCCUCCAUUAUUACUAUUACUUUCACCCUCUCAUCAAACUCACUCAAACCUUUCGUUCUUCUUAUAUUACCUAAAUCACCAGAUCCAUGUAUAAAAUAUAAAAGACCCCUGAAACCUCAACAACAUCUCUCUAUCUCUACAAUCAACAAGAUCGUACCAUGUCAUCUCCUAGAGAUAGAGGAAAGAGCUCGAUGGAAUCAUCAGGAUCAGAGCCACCGGUGACACCAAGCCGUUACGAGUCACAGAAGAGACGCGACUGGAACACUUUCGGACAGUACUUGAGGAACCAAAGACCGCCACUGCCAAUGUCUCACUGCAACUGCAACCACGUGCUUGAUUUCCUCAGGUACUUAGACCAGUUCGGUAAGACAAAAGUGCACGUGCCUGGCUGUAUGUUCUACGGUCAGCCUGAGCCACCAGCUCCUUGCACAUGUCCUCUCAGACAAGCUUGGGGAAGUCUCGACGCUUUGAUCGGACGGCUGAGAGCGGCUUACGAGGAGAACGGUGGAUCUCCGGAAACAAACCCUUUCGCUAGUGGAGCAAUAAGGGUUUAUCUCAGGGAGGUUAGGGAGUGUCAGGCCAAAGCUAGAGGGAUUCCUUUCAAAAAGAAGAAGAAGAAGCCAACGACGACGGAGAUGGGUGGUGGAAGAGAGGACUCUUCUUCUUCAUCCGCCUCUCCCUUCGGCUUCUCUUAAGAUUCUCAUGAUCUUGGUGAGACCUUGUGGUAAUACAUUUCUCCAUUAACUAUGCUUUUGUUUGAUUGAAUAUAUGCAUUUGCAUUCAAUUAAAUAUAUGCAUUUAACUUUGUGUCUUGAUCUCUUUACUAGAGACUUAUGAAUCUGUGGUUUCAUUAACUAGCUACAUACCGCAAAUAUAUAUGUUUAUAUCGUAGAAUGCUCCAUGUAUCAAAACCCUAAGUGGAGAAAUAGUUAGGCUUUUGAUUUUUGAGAAAAUCUUGAUUAGAUAUAUAUAUAUAUAUUGUAUUGAUGUUGGGUUCAGAUCAGGGGACCGGAUCGUGAUUAGAUUAUAGUUUUGAAUGGAAGCAGCUAGAUUUUUUUUAAUGAUCAAUCAUUUUAGUUUUGGAAUGGUAAUUAAAUACAUGAAAACAAGUUUUCAAGUUUCUAGCAUAUCAAAUAUUGAAUGGAUGAUAUAUUGAGUUUUCUAGUUCCAGAAACGAAAAACUAUUCUCUAAACCUUGUAAAUGCAUCAUAUAUUUUUUUACUCUAUAUGUGUUUGGAAUUUGAAGAUUCUCUAAGUUAUCCUAGAGAAUUACUCACUUCAAAUUUUGGAAAAAAACAUUUGAUUCUCCAAAGAUGGAUUGUUUCGUCAUCAACCCCACAUACACAUAUGUAGAGAGAGAUACAAUGUUUUACCACUGUUGUUUAUAUAAACAGUAGUUCAAGGAAGUAAUGAUUGGCUCUUACAAUGCAUUCUUUUAAAAGAUUUGUGAAGAUUUUGUUCCCCUUGGAUAUCAAGGGAGAAAUUGAUUGAAUCUUCUUUUCCCCCUCAUUUUAUAACCUAAAGAAAUCGAUUAAUAAUUAAGAGUUCAUGAUUGUUCUUAAAGGUUAAUAAAGGUUAUCUCAGAAUAGAAGUUAAUACACAUAUAAUACUUUCUUGAUCAUGCUUUAAUUAUUGCUAUGUGUGUCUUAGGGUAAUUAUCUCAACAUGAACAACCCAAUUAUAUCUUAACAUUUUCAGUUUAACCGAAUGCUAAUCAGUAAUCACAAUUCAACCAAUUGUAAAUAAGAUCUCAGAUUUUAGAGCUUCAACUAUGAGAUAUCAACUAGAGCUUUUAUAAAGGCUGUUAAACUGCACAAACAUUAGAGUACCUAGUUAUGCAUUGGUAUUUUCUGAGAUAUAAUAUAGUAUUAGAUUUUGUGGGACAGUAAGUUCUCACUGAAUCAACGCAAAUCAUUAUUUAUUUUCUUUAAUAUCAGAUAUACUUUCAUCAUAGCUAUAAAUAUAAAAUUCAUAUUUAUGAUCUUUGUCACCACUAUACUUUGGAAAAGCCUGAAAGUUUGUUUUGUCCCUCGCAAAGCUUUAUAGACUUUGUUCGAUGAUGCAAUAUAACAUAUGUGAUACGUCACACAAAACUUAAGUUCAUAUAUCUUGAAUUGACAUAGCAGUAUGAGUUUAUAUUUAGGUUAAUUUUCAUUUAUACGGCACAAAUAUGUCACAUGAUCUGGUAUCUAGCUAAACGCAUAUUAAAUGUGUUUUUAACAAUUAGUUGAUGCUGAAACAACAUAGAUAUUUGCAGGAUCAACAGUCUCAUAGAAGGAUCAAAUGUAAAAGAGGCCUCAAAUAUACCUACUGGCGAUCAAGAAGUCAAAGUAAAAUGUUAUUUUCAGCAUAAUUUCGGCUUAUUUUAACCGAUCUUCAUCUACUCCUACAUUUCCGUAGCAAUCGACCGGUUAUAUAGCUUCAUCAUCUCUAUAUUCUCUUAUUAAACUCUUUUUAUAUAAGGAAGUGUAUAGAUUUUAUAUACUUAAGACAAGUUUGUUUUAAAAAGAGUUUCUUAAAUUUGUUAUUUUGAAUAGAGGACUAAUAUUUGAUUUGAAUGUGUAUAAGUAGCUUAGAUCCCCAUGCUAAGAUAAAUUAAAUUUUCUACAAACCUUUUGUUAAUAGUACUCACAUUUAAGCCAAUAGGACUCAAUAGCAUUGCUCAUAUAAAGAAACAAAUUUAGUUUUUAAUACAUGCAAACCUCAAAUAUGAUACGAAGAAGUUAAGAUGAAUAAAUCGACUAAUAUUAUUGUGAUUUAAGUUUAAAUCAAAGGAAAGCGAAUAUUAAUACAAACUAUACAAAAAAUUUAUAUUCUAAAAGACAAUUCAGCUGUCACUGUGGGGACGUUGAUAGAGGUCUUCUUAGCUUUACCAUGUCUUGAGGGGCUUGUCCUUGACGUAGGGAAGAACGUGAAGCAGAGUGGUGUAGCUUUAGAGGCAUUGAACUCGAAAGAAGUAUUGAUAGGUUUGUUAUACUUUGAAUGUUUUGCUUAUAAAAGCGAUGAUCAAAGAUGAUGUAUACAAUUUGCAUGUGAUGAAAUGAAGUGUUAGUCUAAACUCAGUUAAGAUAUCACAUAUUCAGAGAAGAUAAUUUUCUUAGGUUUCUUAGAUAGGUCAGUAUAUGUCUGUCUAAAUUAGUAUUUUGACUGUCUUGCAAUCAUGGUUUUGAUUCAUUGUUUAGGUCUUUUGCUGUUGUUCAUUUUUUUUGCCACCACAGGAUAGAGAUGUUAACCAGAGGAGUCUUUCGCUUCCUGGUGAAGGUUUGUUACAAAAAUGCUUAACUCUGAGGAAGCUUUUCAUACAUUGGAACGGCUCAUGAGCAUUUCAUGAAUUUUUGAGGAUCCCUAACUUAAGGGACAUGUAGCUUAGAGAAGACUGUUAUCCAGCGCCUGAGAAUGAUAUGAGCACAGAGAUAUGAGUUGGUUCUUGUAGUAGAUUCUAGGACCAUUUGAACAGCCGAAACAUCAUUGAUUGAGACUAACAUUGAGUUACUUCCACACCAUUUUUACAUAUGUAUUGACUUCAGUUUCUGUUUACUCUGAAUGUUAUGUUUGUAAAAGAAAAGAUCAAAGAUGAUGUAUACAAUUUGCAAUGAUGAAUGAAUUCAUAAAUGGAAAAAACCAGUACAUUAUAACUAGAUGAAGAUAUCACAGAUUCAAUGAAGAGAAUCCUCACAGAUCGCUAGAUAGGUCAGUAAUCUGUGGAUAGUUCCGUAUUUGCUAUAGUUCUUCACACUGAUAAGUCCCACUAAUAGAAUCACCAAGUGUUAUCUAAAAACAUGUGCUUUGAUAUCAAAUUAAAGUCUAUUCAAAGUAAAUAAAUUUUGUUAAAGAACAAACUAAAAACACAUUGUUAAGAAAAGUUCUCAUAGACCCUUGAGGUUGAAGAUUAUACCUCCAAAACCACCAGGAUGCAAGCUCGUUCCUGUUCAGUAGAGUGUGUCAGUAUUAGUCUAUGUUGCUUGAUUGAUAUGGUGUAGAUCAACUUAAUUAGACAUUUAUACAAGUUGUAAGGAUUUAAUUUGUCAAAAUGUAUUAUAUGGCCACAAACACAUUUUAGAAUUAAAAAAGUAAAAAAUGUAGUUAUUCAGUUAAAAAUAUUAUUUUUUAUUUUUUUAGAAUCUCACCUAGUUUCUAAUGGUUGGAGAUGCUUUUAAUAGACCACUUAAAUUAUUUUUAUUAAUUAAAUUAUUAAAUUGGGUUUAUUUUCCAAAUAACAAAAAAUGGAAAUUAGAUUCUAUAGAGAGGAUAAAAAGAGACAAGAAGAGAAGUAAGAGAGAACGAGUAGUUUUGAGUAGUUAGAACAUUUUCAACUCCACUUCAAAAUUUACAGUAAAAUGGAGUGGAUUAUGCAGUUGUGAACAAAAAAAAAUGUUACUGCAUUUAUGGGGUAAUGCAUUUUUUGUUUGUUCACAACUGCAUAAUCCAUAAUCCACUCCUAGUGAAUUUGUGUUUUUUUUUUUGUUAUUAGGGCCAAUUUCCUUUAUUAAAUUAUACUAAAAUACUAUUUUUAUUUGUUUAGAACCCCAUUUAAGAUAUUGGAGCGAUGGGGGUGAUUGCUUCUGAUCUAUGAGAGCUUUGUUUUUUUUGUUCCUUCUUUAGAAUCUCUAAUUAAUUUUUUUUAUAAUGUAAAUCUUUUACAGCAAAAUGGAAGUAAGUUUCAAAACUGUAUAACCACUCCGACUGCAACCAAAUGAAGCGGAGAAAGGAGACAAAUAACGCUUGCGGUGGGACCACAACCACUGUAAACGUUGUCCCAGAGAGCACCCACCAUGAUGGACCCAGCUGUUUGGCCAAUUUCUCCAGCGUUAUAGAAAUACUUCCCUUCUCAAUAAAAAACAAUCACUUCUUUUUUUUGCUUAAAGGAAGCUAUUAUUUAUAAGUCGCAAAUAAUCACUUCUUGGUUCUUCCCUUUUCCGCUUAAAAAAACAUAUCAUGUCCUGUCUUAACCACAACCCAUUACAAUAUCCGUUUCUCUUUUAACAUUUAGACCCAAAAAAAAAAAAUUAUCCGUUUUACUUUGUAACAACAACAAAAAUGGUUCUAGUAAUAAACGUCAAACUCUCCUAAAUAUGAAUAUUCCAAGACAUCUGGAAAUAACAAAAGAGGAAGAAAAAAGAGAUAUAAAAAUGACAUGGACUUGAUUAUUCCAAGACGAAUGUGAAAGCUGAAAUUGAAUAAUGUAUAGAGUAGUAUUUUUGUAGCAUAUUUAAUGUAAACUGAUAUACAUAAAUAAAUAGGUACACUAGAAAUGGGGUAAGUGUCAGUUCGAUAGAUGGUGAAAUGCCAAAGACACCCGAUUUUGUUGUUGUAAAUCUCAAUCCCAAGAAACCAAACACCCUCUUCGUCCCCUCCUUGGAAACAUGUUAUCUACGUCUCUUUUCUUUGCUUAUUAGUACAUCUUUUAAAACAUUCACAAAUCCCUUAUAAGCCACCAAAUAAUUGCCUCUAAUUUUGUUAAUUCAUUUUCAACGCUUUCUCAGCGACAUCUCUUAAAACAUUCACAAAUGUUAAUUCAUUUCCUCAAUCCACCAAAUAAUUGCCUCUAGUUUUGCUACUACUAAAAAAAAGGAAUCAAGUCUCCAAUUCAUUAAAGUUAGAGCAACUCCAUUGGUGAACCUCUUAAGAGAGGUUCUUAGCAAUUUUUAUUUUUUUUUAAUUAAUUUUGUAAAGUUAAGGAUUUCCAAUUUUUUGGGUGUCUAUUGGUGAACUCCAAAGUGAGGUUCUUAGGAAUAAAUUAAUAUUAUUUAAUUUAUGAAAAAAAAAGUUAUGUUUAUUGAAAAAAAUAUAAAACAUACAAUAAUUAUGAUUGUUGGUUACCAAAUUUUGCAAAUAUAUUCUCAAUUAAAUCGGUCUUCAAUCGUUGAUGUUUCCUUUGGUCGCGAAGUUCACUCCGAAUGGCAAGUAUAUUACCGAGAUUUGAAGGCAUGUUUGUAGAGAACGAGAAAUCUACCUCUGAACUUUUGCUUGUUUCUCCUUCUACGAAUUCAGAUAUAUCGUAUCGAAUGUAUCCAUCUCGUUCUUCUUCCACUAUCAUAUUGUGUAAUAUGAUACAUGCUCUGAUAAUGUUGCUGAUUUUUUCAAUCGCGUCGAAUAACUAUUUUUUUUCUUCUCUCAACGAAACUAGGGGAAAAGUAGUUGCCACGUACUUUAGAGCUCACCCCUUAAAAUUGUUAUUUAAGAGGCACCUCUAACCAUCUCACUUAAUUAUAUUAUUUAUUAAAUCAAAAGUGGGUAAGAGGCUUGCUUAUGAACUCCUUAUAAACCAGCGAUGGAGAUGAUCUUAGAUAUUGUUUCUUUUACUUUUGCUUGUAUUUUUUAUAAGGAGUGGGGACCUACAAAAGUGCCACGUGGACACCAUGCCUGAUAGAUAUGCAUGUAGAUCUUAUGAGCAAGUAGUAGAUUAGAUCCUGCAUUGUACGAACCACUUCACUAUCUCUUACUAGAGUAUUAGAGUAUCUAUUUGAUCACGAUCGAUCUCAUCCAUCAUCGAUGUAUCUAUACAUAUCAUCAUCGGUGUAUGCAUGUAGAGAGGGGCACAUGGGAAUGGGACAUUGAAAGAUGGAGAUUUUCAUGUGAGAGCACAUGUCAUGUGCUUCUUUCUCUCUCUCUCUAAUUUGCCUUCUCUUUGGGCUUUCUGUGUAGGUCCCCUAUUCUUCACUCCCUUGUUCUUAUGCACAUGCCGAAACGGGUCAUUCUCCUUCUUAUCCCCUCCCCCUCACCCACUGCCUUCUCGCGCGUGGUCUUUCUUCUAAUCUUAUAAUGGUCUCGUCCGUACUACCCUGCGUAGUUACUACUACUACAACUUGCUAGGAUUAGGAUUUGUCCUCGUCUGACUUACUUUCUGGACAAUUUAUAAUAGUUUUCUCGAUUCAAGUUUACAUAAUUAUAACCCUAAAAUUUUGUUAAGAGUUCAGAAAAGGUGAGAAAUAAGUUAUGGUAUACACAAAAAUGCCACUUUAUAAACUAAUACUCCAUCUUUUAUGGUUGGUAUAUGAUAAAAUGCCACUUUACUGCAACUUUACCGGUCUGUAAGCAGCAAUACAUAAUCCUAUACAAUAGAAAGUUAAUGCUUGAGGAUUUACUAGAUACAAAGUUAAUACUUCUAGCUCUAAACAAGAUACGCAGUUAUCAAACAAACAAAAUCCAAUUUAGCUGUGAACAUGAUCCACUUAAGUGAGUGACAUGGCCACUAACGUCUAAAUUUGUCGACAUGGCGCGUGAAAAACCAAGUCUCUUUUGCAAGAUCCAAAUCUAUGUAUAACCCAAGUAAGAAAAAAAAAUAACCCCCACAAUCCGAAACACGAGGAUAAUAUAUAGUACUAAAAAAAAUACAACUGGACCAGCUUUGAUGGUAACAUUUACCAUUUCUCAUUUACUAAAUAUAGAGUUCUUAAAUCGAAUUUCAGUUUUACAUCGUAUUUCUAGACCAACCAAACCGAAACUCAUUCAUAACCGAACGUUACACUAAAGUAAGAAAAAAAAGAAUGGAACAUGGAGCGUAAGAAAUUCAACCAAAAUAGUAUUAUCUCUAAACUUAACUCAUUUACUACUUUAAAAUCCAAUCGAUUCAUGGUAAACCAGAGUAAAGCGAGAUUGAACCGGCCACACUUUAUUACAGUUACCAUUUUAUCCAAUAACUCCAUCAUUACUCUUAUAUAUAUCAAACAUACACACGUACACUUUCCAUCUCUCAACAACAUCAUUCCUCUCUCUCUCUCUCUCUCUCUCUUACGAGUUACAACUUACAAUGGAGAAAACUCUAGCAACUCCUGACACUACUAGAUCUCUUUCACCGUCAUGCUCAGUGGCCGUUGAAUCACCUGCCGCUGGUUUUGAGCGCAGAACCAAACGGAGACUUUCGCAGACUAAGGCAAGCGUCUGUGUGUCCGGUGAAGAAGAUGAAGAUGAGGAAGAGGUAAAAGAGAAGAUUGAGGCGUUGCAGAGGAUUAUUCCAGGAGGAACGGCGCUUGGUGUGGACGCGCUCUUCGAAGAGACAGCUGGUUACAUAAUGUCUCUACAAUGUCAGAUCAAGACCAUUAAAGUCCUCACUUCAUUUCUCCAACGCUUAGAUAAACAAGAUAUGAAGUUCGGAGGUUGAAGAUAAUGAUGACACCCAAAGAUUGUUCUUCCUUUCGAUUAAAAAGUGUUUUUUAUUAUUUAGUUUCAUUUUAACUCUUUUAGCUUCUAUCUAUAUAUGGGAAAAGAGAUCUCAGCAUUUUUUUUCUUUGAAAUCUUUUUCUUUAUGAAGACUUAAAAUCAAAGUUCUGAUUUAUUUAAGCCGGUUCGCAGUUAUGAAAGACUACUAAUUGCGAUAUAUAUAAGAAAGUUACUAUUAAUGUAGUGUGUAUAGUUAUAUAACUUACUAACUAGAUAGUAACCCGCGUUUUGCGCGGGAUAAGAUGUCUAUAUUAAUGUUAAAAUUAUAUAUUAUGAUUAUGUAUAACAUCAGGUAUAUUUUAAGCGAUAGAACUAAAGGUAUGAUUGUUAUCAGGGAUGAAGCGAGAGACUUUUUAUAAUGGUUGUACUAAUAUUAAAAUUUGAUAUAUGGUGUUUGCAAGUUUCAGAAGAAGCUUUGAAAAAUAAUUUUUUUUUAUAUUUCGUCUAUCACGUUAUAGUAGUUACGGACUUAGGGAUUUAACAAAUAACAUAAAAGUGUUCGUUGAGAAACGUGUAGAUGGUAUGAAGUUCUUUUAAAGGAAUGUUAGUGUGAACGCAUUAAAUUCAUUAUUUUGGUGAGAAACGUUCUCUGCGUGACACCUAAACGUUUUACUAAAUAAAAGUUUCUCGUGAAGCCACGUCACCACGUCGCAAUCCUUACCAUAACUUUUAAGGUAAGUUUUAAAAAUGCUUCUCCUUUAAUAUAUAGGGGAUAUUUACUUGGAGGCCAUAUAGAUAUUAAAUUGAAUCACGAGGUAGCACUUGCAUUUGAGAUUUGACAUUAAUGAUAUUGAGCAAGUAAUGGCAUACCUCUGGCCCAAUUUUUAAUUUCGGGUGAGCUCCAUGGUCACAUGCUAUAUAACAAAGAGAACCAUUUCCAACGUCGGUAGAUAUUUGUUUAAGUUUAAGAUGAACACAUUGCAUUCGAGAUCCAUAAUACAAAUAGUCCAACUGUCAAAGGACCGAGUUCAUGUGUUAUAUUCAUUUUACACAAUACAAGACAAAUCUAUUUAUUCGUCUAAGUAGUCACUACUCACUAGAGCUACCAUCUACACACAAUUCAUAAAAUCAACCGCGUCCCUUAAAAUAAAAAAGCCGUUUAGUAGUCAUUAUUUUGAAGAAGAAAAAAACAUAUAGCUGACAUUAAAUGAAGCUGUUACAUAUAUUAAUGUAACUAUAUUCUUCAAACUCCUUAAACUCACUUACUUAAUGGAUAUUUAAAGUAACUUGUAGUAAAUCAUAUCACUCUGUUCUGUUCUGAAAUGUAAAAUAUUUAAAAUAAUUUUUAUGUUUCAAUAUAUAAGAUGUUCUCAUCUUUUUAGGUAAUUUUCAGUUUAUCAAAAACUUUGUACCCAAUCAAAUUUAAUAGUUUUAUUUUCUAAUUGGUUGAAUAGUUUUUAGUUUAUAUAAUUUUAAUGAUAUUUUUAGGUAAAAAAUAAUUUUUUUAAUAAGUGUGUACUACCCAAAACAUCUUUAGGAACAAAUGGAGUAUAAAAUCACAAAAAAUUAAGUUGUAAAUCAUUAAUGGUACAUUUUAAUCCUCUACUAAAAAGUCAUUGACGUCAUUCUCUAGUUUAUAAUCCCCAUCCUACAAGACUAGAAGGCUACGACUCCAUACGAUUUGCUUUAGCCAUGUCCUACUAUAGUUCACGGAUAUUUAAAGUAAGUUAUAAUAAUAAAUCAUACUAGUAUAAAACUACACAAAAAGUUGUAAAUCAUGAAUUUUAACUUUUAAUCAUUUACUACUAAAACUAUCAUUAAUAAGGCUACGACUUGCUUUAGCCAUGUCUUAAUGGGCGUAAUACAUAUGGGCCUGGGCCCAUAGUAGAUCACUCGAUAUUACUCAAUACUCCUCCAUUGCGCGAACAUUGUUCACAGAUCAGUGUCAAUGGCGGACGAUCGGGCUGAGAAGGAGAUGGUCAACGCUGAUCACGGAAGCGAUGAGCUGGAGAAUAAGAAGAAUCACGAAUUGAAACGGGAGAAUCUGGAAUUGAAGGAGAAGGCUGAGAGAUUGACCGGAGAAAUCGAGGAGAUGAGAGCCGUGGAGGCGGAGAUGAAGCAGAGCUUCGAAGAGAUGGAGACGGAGAUCGAGCAGUUAGAGGAAGAGAAGAAGGGGUUAGAAUCUAUAUCGGCCCGAGCCGUGGAGCUCGAGGGCGAGGUGGCGAAGAUCCACGAAGAUCUCGUCAACGCUUUGAGAGACGGAGACGAGAGGGAGGUAACGGCGGCGGAGCUGAAGAAGGAGUUGUCGGAGAAAGUUGAGAGCUUUGAGAGGUUUGAGAAGGAAGCGGAGGGUUUGAGGAAAGCGAGAGGCGAGGGUGAGAAGAAAGGGAGGGACUUGGAGAGGAAAGUUGGGGUUUUGGAAGUGAGGUUGAUGGAGGAGAGGAGCAAGAAGGUUAGAGCGGAGGAGGAGAUGAGGGAGAAGGGUAAUCAGAAAGAGGGGGAGAUCGAGGGGUUGAAGAGGAAAGUCUCUGACUUUGAGAUGGGUUUGGUGAAGGGUGUGCUGGAGAUGGAGAGUUGCGAGUUCGAGAAGAAGCGGGCGGAGGAAGCUUUGAGUGAAUUAAAGAAGAGGGAGAUGGAGUUGGAGGUGAGGAAGGAGGAGUUGUUGAAGAAGGUUGAUGAAGGUGAGAAGACGCUGCUUGUGUUGAACGAGAGGAUCAUGGAGGAGCCUACUACUAAUGGAGUCAGAGACAUAAAGGAUUGUGACCAAGAAUGUUUACAGUUGCAGUGGCCAGUGGUUGCUGCUGGUUCGGUGGGAGCUUUGGGUUUGGUAGCAGCGACAGUGUUUGUUGUAUGCUACUCAAAACGGACUUGAUUCAGUAAUAUUGAGGAGCUGAAGACCAUAACUUUUUUGCAGUUCUGCAUUCAUAUAGGUGCCCCAUAACUUUUUGGUCUCUGAGUUUGUGAUGUUUUUGUUUACUUGAUAUGUUUUGUUUGUUUGAGAUGAUUGAUGAAUCUUUGGCUUUUAGGCUAUGAAUGCAUUUGAUAUCGCUUUGUCAUCACAACUAACUGUUUCUGAAUUAUAAAGAUAGACUUGUUGCUAAUAGAUUGUUUGACAGUACAGAACAUGAACAACAUACUAUUAUAAACCAUGAUGUGAUCAUGUGAUGGUUACUAGAAUAUGUCACAUGUCUAAUUUCUAUGAACAUGUGGCUCUGAGCUCUGGGUGUAGUGCACUAGUGCUUAUGUUCCUAUUCCUUAUUUUCUGCAAAUAUACAUUCAUUGUAGAUUAGGAUUAGGUACCAGACCAUAGUCUCUAGGUGAACUUGUUCUCGUACCUGUAUUCUAUGGAUCAUCAGCCCGGAGAAGCUCAAGGAGUCCGCAGCAGUUCCUCCACGAAGUUAGUUGCUGCACGGGUUGGUUAAGGCGCAGUAGAGGCAUCUGAAAAAAGAAAACAUAGGCUAGUGUCUUAGUAAACAAACGAGAAUAGCUAGAGCUACAACAACUUAUUGUUGCGUAUAGAGAGAGAGAUUUGUUGUUUGCUUGUUUAGGGUUGAGUUAACCUGGUUCUCAUCUUUAGGUAGAUGAGCAGGUUCUUCCACAUGAGCUGAAACAGGUAAGGACCCGUCAAAGUAAUAACUGGAAAGGUCAGAGUCACUGGAUGAGUCAACACUAUCCUCUUUUGAAUCUGAUGAUGACCUGACUCCUUCAAGUAUUACAGAAAAAUCCAAAUCCUCUGCGCCUGGACCGGAGAUCUCGCUGGUAUCAGUCAUACUAUGAAACUCUACGUUUGUUUGUUCUGUUUUAGCAGGAGUGUCUUCAGGGAACUGUAGUACCAUCUCUUCAGAUUUGUUCGGAUAUGGAAAGUUGUUGGUCUUGGCUACCUUUGGUCUCAGGCUGCUACUACGUCUAAAAAGCUCUAGAACCUCCUCGUCUUCCAUUUCAUACUCACUGACAUCAUGAUCUUCAAAGUUAGCCGUCUGUGAGUUAGAUGGACCCGUGGAGCCUUCUUCUGUGAUCCUUUCAUCUUCCUUAACAUUCCUCGUCUCCUCAGUUGAGUUGCUUGCUUCUCCAAUGGUCUUCUCCUCGUCUUCACCUACUUUUUCCAUCUCUCUUCUGGUAUGCUUCAGCUCUCUCUCUCUUUCCUUCUUUGUUCUGUUUCUGCGUUCACAAACUCAAGCUAUCUAGAAGGUCGCUUCAUAUGUUUAGUUGCAACGUCAUCGUUCAAACAACGAAUGCAAAGUACCAAAUAUAUGAACCAAAGAAGAAAAUAAAGAAGAUAAAAAAAGUAAAAAAAUAUUGGGAAGUUUGAAGAGUAGGUGAGAGGACAAAAGGAAUGGUUGAUGGACUAAAGUAGCAGAUGUGCACACAGUUGUCUUGACUAGUUGGUUCGCUGUUGUCAUGACAGUUUUCAAAGAUAGCUACUCUUACAAACAGAACAUAAAAAAAUUCAUUUAGUCAAUAAAUUGAAUCAGUUUCACAUAUAUUGGUUUAGUUUCUGUCCAUAGUUUAUGAAAGACAGGAUGAGUCUUCCGUCCUCUUCCGGAACUCUGUGUUUCAAACGAACAAGUAUUUGUUUUUGAAUUUAGCAUACCAUACAGACUACAACAAACUCAUGGCUCUAGUCUAUCAUAAUGACACCUUGGGGGAAAUUUUGAUAGGCAUUCCUAGUGAUGGAAACGGGAGAGGAUCCAUGCUGAUUGUCUCAUCAGGAUAGACCAAGGACCAAUCAUAACUUGUCACAACAAAAUGCAAGAAAACGAGGAUGCUGACUUUUGCUAGCUGGUGACCUGCACAAAGCCUUGGUCCUCCUCCAAAUGGAAGAUAUGUAUAUGCUUGUACCGCCUUAUCAAACCUUGAAGGAUUAAAACUCAUUGGAUCUUCAAAAAUCUCAGGAUUGUAAUGAGUUCCAUAAGUUGUCCACAGUACCUGCACUCAAAAACAAAGUAUUACAUUAGUAUUUAUUUCUUGAUUUAAAAACUGAAAAGAUCUAUAUAUAGAGAUGAUGCUGCUUCACCUUCCAGCCUUUUGGGAUAGUGAAUCCUCCAUAGUUGAUAUCAACAACUGCUUUUCUGAAGGAACCAAAGAUUGGAGGUGAUAAUCUCAUUGUUUCACGAACAACUUGCCAGCUAUACUUCAUCUUCUUCACAUCUUCAACCGUGAGGUACUCUCCUUCCCCUUUGUUUGCUUUUAUUUGAACAUGUUCUGAGAUGAAAUCAAGAGAGUUGAGUAUGAUUUUUUUUUUUUUUUUUGCUGAAUUAUGUUUUGUUUGUUACCUUUAAGGAGAGUGUCAAGGCAAGUUGGAUGCUGAGCCAACAUCUUGAAAGUCAUGGCCAUGGCGUAAGAGGUUGUGUCAUGAGCUGCAAACACUAGCAAAACCAUAUUGUCUACAACCUCUUCUUCGGUUAUGUCUCCUUUGAUCAAUCCUUGUACUAGCCUUGAGAAUAGUGUUGUGUUUGGUCUCUCAGCUUCUUCUUCUUCUUGUUCCAUUUCUCUUCUCUUCUCUCUGACUUUCUCAACUAGCAAUGUCUCAAUCUCUAGCCUAGCUUUCUUCGCUCUAGCAAACCUAGAACAAGGAAACUCAACAGGCAAAGCGAAAACUCCUUCAAGAACCCUCUCAAAGAUCUCUAACAUCCCAAGCUCCACUUUGAUCCCAUACAAACACUCAAAGACCACAGUAAACGUUAGAGCUUUUGUGGAACGGUAGAGACUAAUCUCUUCCUUGCCUCGCCAUUGGGUUUCAAGAUGAGACCGGACAGUGUCACAUAGGUUAGGUAAUAAGGACUCUAACCCAUUGUAGCUAAGGCUAUUAGCUACAAUCCCUCUAAGGACUCUAUGCUUCUCGCCUUGCUUAGCCAUGAUGCAGUUCAUGCCCAUUAGCUGAACAGAAGAAGAAGGCCAUGAGCUCACCACUAAGCUAAACUCGUUAGAUAAUAUUAGCCUAUUGGCUUCAGCUCCAUUGACUACUAUUGUUGGUGAUCCCAUGAUUUUUGUCUUGAAGAGGUUGCCAUGUUUGAUGAUUCUUGGAUUCACGAAAUCUUCAAACACUCUGUUGUUUUUCUGAGCUUUGUAGAACUCCAUUGUUUCACCUAUCCAUGGAAGCCCCAUUUCUCCAGGGGGAAGCUUCUUCUUGGGCUGCUGCAGCUUCUUUGAUCUGAACUUGUGCUGUUUCUUGCGGAAGAAGAAAAGUGUGCUGGAGAUUGUUGCAGCUAUGCAUAGGAAGAUCCAUGAGAGAAGGAAGUUUGGUUCUAGAGCCAUUUUGUUUUUGUUUGGUUACUUAAUUAACCAAUUGUUAAUAAUCAAGUUUUGCAAAAACCUGGAUUAUGAGCUGAGUAUUUAUAAGUGGAGAUUUUUUUUUGUGAAUGUUAAGGUCAAACCAAGUGAUAUUAUUCUAGUUUUUUUCUUUGUUUUUAGACUUUUUAUUCUUCUUUGGGGGUGGCUCUGACACAUGAUUGAUCUUCAAGAUACAGUUCCUUAAGAGCUCAGGCUGCACUAUCUUUUUCAUUUUUAAUACAACAGACGGUGACACUAAACAUGUUAUGCAGCUGCAUAUACACAUGUAUUAAGGUGAUUAUGGAAUUAAAUAUGAAUAUAACUCAUGUUUCAUUACAUAAUAGAAAUCAUUAUUGAAGUAAUAGUUUUUUUUUGUAACUGAGGCUUUCAAAUUGAAGUAAUAGUUACCCUAUUGAAAUUGGUCUGGCUCAUUUUCUCUAUAGACUAAAGUAGUGAAUCUUCAAAGAAACUAGUAUUUCCAUAGCAUGUAGUAUGUUCUUUACAUUAAACAGAAAAUUUUGAUAAACAAAUCCAAUACUUUUCCUGAGAAAAAAAAAAAAAGAGAAAAUGUUUUAUAUACUGACAGUAUCAAAGAACGGCUAGUUGGUGGAAAAAGAAAAAUUAUUGCUAAAACAUUGCUAGAUUUAUUGGUCUAUGCCAUAUGGAAAUAAUGUAUCUUCGCAUCUCUAAAAAUUUAGCAAUUCAUCUUUGUAGAUCUACUAUAUAUGUGUAUUAUCUAUCUACAAAUAAUUUAGAUCUAAAUAUAUUAGUUAAAUUUACAAUACAACUAACAAAAUUAUUUCUUAACAACUAAACAACUAUAGGUUGACUUUUUAAUGUAUUUUCUUGUUUUUAUUGAAUUUUGGGUGAGACAGAAAGAGAGACAGUUGCAUGUGCUUGGGAGUUGGAAUAUGCUAUAACCAAGACUGUGAAUGAAUGUAUAACAUAUGAAUCUGAUCCGCAUAAUCUCCCUCUUAAAUAAUUUCAUAAUAUUUUAUAUUCAUGUGUUCAUAAUAAUAGCACAGUAUAGUUUAAACACACUUGCUGACGAAAUGUUCCAUUAGAUUUAUAGCAUUACUGGGAAAAUGAGAUUAUACGCGAAUCCCUAAAGAUCUGCUGUGGCCGGCUGCUUCUGUUAUGUCCAAGUUACGUUGCAAACUGCGCGGGUUAAUCGAAUUAUUCAUCACAUUUUAAGGUUUCUAGUACGUGCAUAAGAUUAGUUCUUUGUGUACACUUUAGGGAGUUUAUCACGCUCGAACGUUACAUUAUUCUCAAACUGAUAAACUGUAUGUACAUUAUUGGUUGAUUCUUGAAAUUUAAGCACUUAAUUUUUCUUGGCAUUGUUCAUGCAUCUAAGAUAAAAUUAUAUGUUUGAUAGGAGAAAGGAUAGUUUAGAAUAAGUAAAUAACGAAUAACUGGUUAGGAAGUCGCUUUUAAGAGAUUCCUUCUUAAUAUAUAGUGCAUGUAUGAGCAAUAUCAAAAGAAUUUAAAAGGGUUUCCUAACCUUGUAGCGGCACUAAGCAUAUAUGAUGCUACUUUACGUCGUCGGUUUGCAGAACAAAGUAAUUAACAUUAAAAAAAAAGAGUCUUAGUUGAAUUAUUCACAUUAGGCGAUUAUCUUAAGCUGUGAUUUGUCUUGUAAACCUAUUAUUAGAAGAGUAGGAGCCGCAAGAAAAGGUGAUGAUGAUGAUGGUUGACAUUGACAACAACAAUUAUACAACGUGAUGAUGGUCGACAAUCAUCAUCAACGGUAUUGUUAUAUCUAUGAUCAGUUAGCAAACCCUACUAAAAUUACAUAUUUAAUAAUUCAAAACGUUUUACUCGAAAAAUGCAAUUAUAACUUCUGCAUACAGUUAGGCACAAACAUAUUAUUUGCAUGUGUAUAUUAUAAGUAUAUAGACUUUGAUUCCUUGAAUGGUCGGGGAUUUAAUUUAGUACGUUUGGUUAGUUGGAUCGCUUUGAACGCUUCGAGUUAAACUGGUCUGUAUGUGUGUUGCUGCCCUAGUUUUUGGAGUGAUUCAGAUUGAACCGUUCUAACCAUUAGUGGAAAUCACCAAACUGUAUCCUAUCAAAGUUGAUUUUACCAUUUGCCAUUUCUGAUGGAUUACACCGCUUUAACAACAUCGACAUACGGGGAGAUGCUUGUUUCUCACAAUAACUCAGUUACCUUUCUAUUGCUUUGGCCUAUGAGUCAACUAAUGCAUACACAUUACAAGUCUGUAGUCUUCUAAGCCUAAUACAAUAAGAGAAGAAGAUAAGUAUGCGAAUAUAUUCUGUAUUUAUCCUAAUAAAGAAACAAAUCAUCUACCGUAUAAGACAUCUCUAAGUGUCAACGGACUUGAAAUGAUAUACCAACUAACAGACUUUCAAAUGUCACUUUUUGGCUCUUGCGUAUAUUUCUCAAAACCGGAAUAUUUAAUUAGUAUUGGAAAUGUAAAUGAUGAUUUUAUUUUAGUUUAUUUUCAAAGUUACACAUGUCAUACCGUAACAUCACAAUGGGAUAAUGUUUAUUCACGUGGUGUCUAGUGUCUAAGUGGGUGAAGGACGCUAAUCAUGAGUUUGUACUAAUUAACAAACCCGUAAUUCCCAUGGCCCUAAUCAAAAUAUGUCGGACGCGACAAUAUAUAUUGUGUCCGGGUCCUUAGUUAAGCCAUUUGCUUUGGGAACCUAGCUCCUAAAUUCAAUUUAAUCCUGAAAGAAGAGCAUUCAACCAAUAAAUUUUAAAAUAAAUAUAUGUAGUUAAUUAGAAAAGCAAUCACUAAUUUAAAUAUCAAAUGGCAUUAGCGGAAAAACAGUUUGUCGUUUGUUAAUCUAAAGUGAAUAGAAGAAAAAAACCAAUCGAUGUUGUAGAUGGGUUUGAACUGAAAUGGUGGAAAAGUGGUUGAGUAGAGUUUUAUGAGUUCACUACCAUAAUAAUAAGAAAAUAAUCCCAAAUGCAAACUCCAAAUAACUUCAAAUAUAAAAACAAGUCCUAACAAAUUAAUCAGAUCACAAUAGUAAAAGAAAAUGCAGAAGCCAGCGAACCUAUACAGUAAGAGAAGUGAAUUAUUUUGUGAAGCAUCAACAUAAAUGGUUAUAAUUCUCAGACCCACCUAAACCUACACAUUAUUACUACAAUUUUUAUCUUUCGUUUGAUCUUUUGUUUUUCAUAUUUUUCAGUCUCUAAUCAAUUUUUUUUCAUCUCCUCUUAUUUCUUCUUGUGGGUCCUCUUCUCCCUGACCAGUGACCUCUGUGCAUCUCCACGUUUUACUAAUAGCUUUGCUGUAUCUACUGUUACCACUCUUAUUAUUACUCAAACUUAAAUGUCACUUAAAUGCAAACUAUAUAUUUAGGUGAAAACCAAAUCAAAUAGCAAUAAAAAAACACUAAGCACACCAAUGAUUUAUGUCCUGUCCACAAGUCGAGAAGAGUCAAGUGACCUUAGCUUGUCUUCUCUUUUAACGUCAGGCGACUACUAAUUUAAGUAUCUCCUUAACUAAAUCUUAGAGAAGCACAAAGACAAAGGGUCUACGUUAAGUCUACCUAGAUUCUUGAUUAGAGGCUUGCCCUACAUUGUAAUCACUCAUAAGAGUGGAAACUUACUUGGGAUUAAUUAGGUUCACAUGAUACCAGAGCUAGCUUGCAUUUUCAGAUACAAAUGUGAAAGGUGUCAUGCAAUAAAACAUAAGCAAAUGUGCAAAAAAAAAAAAAAUAUAAGCAACGUACUGAGUUUAAUGAAAAAACGUAAACAGUAAUACGGAUAGCGAGAUAAAUCAUUCAUAUGGGAGACAGCUUCUCAUACGCGUCCAUGCCUUUGCAUGAAAAAUUAACUUUGACUCUUCUUUCUAGUAUUUUGUUUUCUUGUUUUAAUUGUGAUUCAGAAUUCCAAGUGUUAUUGCAAUCACUAGGGGUAAUAAAUGGGAUAGUAUAAAUGCACCUGCAACAUAUCAACUAACCACACACAACUCCACCUGUUUGUAUUUACUUCAAAAACAUUCAAAAACCCUUUGCUUCCCUCUAUUUAUAAAUCCUAGUUUCCGGUUUCAUUCUACCACACAACACCAUUUGCACAAACACUUCUGCUUUCUCUUUGUUUUAAAAAUGAGAGGGAUGAAGAAUCUUACCAUUUGGGCUGUCUUUGUUGCUUUACUCUCCCAGCAGCUGUUUGCUUCUGUUGCUUCCAUAAAGUUUGAGGAUAAGAAAACAUACUACUCUCCUCCGGACCCCAAUGCAGGAUCUCCUCCCUCUGGUAAGCAAAAAAAAAAAAAACACAUACACACAUGCACUCCCAACUUUGUAUGCAUUAAUAAGAAUCUUGAUUUUAGUAUUUUUACUUGACUGAUCAUUGUUAUUGUGUGACAUGCAGGAACUCCUCCAUCACACGGAGGAUACACUCCAACCCCUUCAACUCCAUCACAUACCCCUCCUUCUAACUGUGGAAGUCCACCUUACGACCCAAGUCCUCCAUCUCACACUCCAACUCCUUCUACUCCAUCUCACACUCCUUCAACUCCAUCUCACACUCCCUCAACUCCUUCUCAUACUCCAACUCCUUCGACUCCAUCUCACACACCAACUCCAUCACACACUAGUCCUCCUUGCCACUGUGGAACUCCACCUUCACACCCUUCCACACCUUCACGGCCUUCAAGGCCUUCACACCCAUCCAGGCCUUCACGCCCUUCCACGCCUUCAAAUCCUCCUUCUGGUGGAUACUACUCAUCUCCUCCACCAAGUACUCCUGUCGUUGUGACGCCACCAACACCCAUUGUUGACCCAGGCACACCCAGUACUGGAGGAACCCCUCCUUCUUCUGGUGGAUAUUACUCAUCUCCUCCACCAAGUACUCCAGUCGUUGAGACUCCACCAACACCUAUUGUUGACCCAGGCACACCCAUCGUUGGAGAAACCCCACCAACUCCUUCUUCUGGUGGAUAUUACUCAUCUCCUCCACCAAGUACUCCAGUCAUUGAGACUCCACCAACACCCAUUGUUGACCCAGGCACACCCAUCAUUGGAGGAACCCCACCAACUCCUUUCAUUGACCCUGGCACUCCUGGAACCCCCUUCCUUCCUGCUCCUUUUCCACCAAUCACUGGAACAUGCGAGUA
This 24667-nucleotide long non-coding RNA is filed under the name Brassica napus (rape). RNAcentral describes it as "long non-coding RNA (BNAP_LNC003880)". The record is from RNAcentral. Lineage: Eukaryota; Viridiplantae; Streptophyta; Magnoliopsida; Brassicales; Brassicaceae.